RNAcentral lists this long non-coding RNA (1357 nucleotides) under Cyanistes caeruleus (blue tit). RNAcentral's name for it is "lncRNA (ENSCCEG00000019661.1)". Lineage: Eukaryota; Metazoa; Chordata; Aves; Passeriformes; Paridae. The record is from RNAcentral.
AUGGAAAUAGGGAUGCUGGAUGAGGGAGCUGCUGGAGCAGCUCAGCACUUCCCUUCCUCCACAAGGCUUUCCUGGGGAUUGUGGCUCCAUCUUCCCAUUCCAGGAGGAGCUGCCAGGACUCCAGGAAACCUUUCCAAGGUCUGCCUGGGAGUGGUGCCACCGUGGUGUUUGAAAGUUUGCUCAGGGGAGAGCCAGGGCUGGAAGCUGCAGGGCAGGAACCUCCCCAAACACGAGGGCCAAAGGACGGAGCUGGAGACGAGGACAUGCUCGGGGAUGGAAGGAGACCCCUGCAGUGGGUGCACCACAGGAAGCAACACCCAGAGAUGGAGCAGCACUCGAGUCCUGCAAAGCCAGGCCAGAGGAAUGAGGACACCAAGAAACACAUCCUACAAACUCUGCUGAGUUAUGGAAAACCAGGCAGGAAUUGCAGCAGGAAGGAUCUCCUGGGAUGUGCCCCACGCUCAGCUCUCACCUUGGGGGGCUCAUCCUUUCCCCCAGGUUUCCCUCCCCGGGUUUGUUCCCUGCUGUGCUUUGCCACCCUGGGCUCUGGCGGUGUGGGUGAUGCUGAGAGAGCUCCUGUUGGGCCAGGAAUGUUCUCCAGGCUCUUUCCCCUCCCUAAAAAUCUCCCCUUGCAGGGAAGGAAUGAGCAAAGCCCAGGGUGAGGACAGGAGUCACCCCUGAACUGAGGCUGGGUGGCUGCAGGGGACACGAGCACAAGGAGCCCUCAUUACUGGGACACUAAUGAGCGUGCUUUGGUGAUGAGCAGAGCUUUUCUGUGCCCCAUAAUCUACCAAUCAAACGUUAAAUGGAGCAAAAAUCAAUCAGCCAGCCCCAGGGCCGCUUAAUGAAUUAAUUGGAGGCUCUGGAAGUGGCUGUGGGGCUGAGCCACCCGUGCCUGCCUCCUGUGAGUCCACACACCAUGAGCACCCCAAUUCAAGGCUCCCCUACCAAGUUCCAGGUCUUUGUCCAGAGGGAGCACCAGGGAAACAGCCAGGUGGGACAUUGCCUGAUUUUAGGUGAUUUUAGGUGAUUUUAGGUGAUUUUAGGUGAUUUUAGGUGGGGUGGGGGGUGUUUCUCUCCCCACCUGUGGCGUGGUGGGGGCUGGAGGGAGCUCCUGGCAUUCCCUGCCUGGAUCAGAGCAUGGCACCAGCUGCCAGCCAGGUAAAACUCAGCUGUGCCCACCUGGGAGAGCUGGUUUGAUGCCCAGCUGUGGUGGGAGGGUGCUGGGCCCAGUUUCUGCUGGAACUAUUUGAAGUAAAUGCAAUAGAAAAUGAAAGGAGACAAGAAACUGCUGGGACCUAAUUAAAGGUAAAAGUUAAGGAAUAAAUGGGGAGCCUGUAAGUGCUGAACCCUUCUG